This 1347-nucleotide ribosomal RNA is filed under the name Triticum aestivum (bread wheat). Its description in RNAcentral is "partial small subunit ribosomal RNA". Lineage: Eukaryota; Viridiplantae; Streptophyta; Magnoliopsida; Poales; Poaceae. The record is from RNAcentral.
AUGGAGUCGCUGCCGCGGAAGCGCAAGGGCGCGCGCUCCCUCGCCGGCUCCCUCCACGACGCCUCCGCGGACCGCAAGCGGACCUGCCGGGAGCGGAAGCCGCGCCCCGACAAGAAGAAAAAGAAGCCCUCCGCCGCCGGCGAUGACGCCGCCACCGCCUCCGGCCGGGGCGGCGUGGUCAUGACGGCGCCGCCGGCCAGCGGCCGGGCCACCCCGGACAGCCCCGGCCGGGGCCUCAAGCGCAAGGUCGGCUGCAUCGAGUCCGCCACGCGCAUAGGCCGCAAGAAGCGCCUCGAGACCGAGUACGAGCUCGGCGACGAGAUCGGCCAGGGCAAGUUCGGCUCCGUCCGGAUCUGCCGCGCCAAGGCCGGCGGCGAGGAGUUCGCCUGCAAGGCGCUCCCCAAGAACGGCGAGGAGACGGUCCACCGCGAGGUCGAGAUCAUGCAGCACCUCUCCGGCCACCCCGGCGUCGUCACGCUCAAGGCCGUCUUCGAGGACGCCGACAAGUUCUACCUCGUCAUGGAGCUCUGCAGCGGCGGCCGCUUGCUCGACGAGAUGGCCAGGGACGGCACCUUCUCCGAGCAGCGAGCCGCCCUCGUCAUCAAGGAUCUAAUGUCGGUCGUCAAGUACUGCCACGAAAUGGGCGUCAUCCACAGGGACAUUAAGCCGGAGAAUAUUUUGCUCACCAAGACUGGCAAGAUGAAACUAGCUGAUUUUGGAUUGGCAGCACGAGUUACUAACGGUCAGAAAUUGUCUGGCGUUGCUGGGAGCCCAGCCUAUGUGGCGCCUGAGGUGUUGUCAGGAAGCUAUUCUGAGAAAGUAGACAUAUGGGGUGCUGGGGUGCUCCUCCAUGUACUACUGCUUGGUUCACUUCCAUUUCAAGGGGGCUCUCUGGAAGCUGUCUUUGAAGCUAUAAAGACAGUUGAGCUUGAUUUCAACAGCGGUCCAUGGGAAUCAAUGUCAGUUCUUGGACGGGAUCUUAUAAGUCGAAUGUUGGAUCGAGAUGUCUCUUCUAGAAUGACUGCUGAUCAAGUUCUUUGUCAUCCAUGGGUGUUGUUUUACACGGAAUGUACCCUGAAGGCUGUAACUCCUAAUGUCACUAACCAGAUUGUAGCACCCAAAAUUCCAUGGGACAGAAUUAGAUCACAUUCUGAGUCGUCAGCUUCAGAUUCGUCGAGCCAGAGGUCGGAGGACCAGGAUGAAUGUGGCAUAGUCGACGCACUGACUGCGGCAAUAACACAUGUUAGAAUAUCGGAGCCGAAAAGAACCCGGCUUUGCAGCCCUGGCAUUCCCAUACAGCAGGAAUGCUCCUCAAACUUAAAGAGCAACCUGUGCACGGCGUUCUGA